Molecule: unclassified non-coding RNA, 431 nt
Filed under: soil metagenome
Description: partial contains 5.8S ribosomal RNA, internal transcribed spacer 2, and large subunit ribosomal RNA
Rfam family: 5.8S ribosomal RNA (bases 1-120)
Source: RNAcentral
GAUGAAGAACGUAGUGAAAUGCGAUACGUAAUGUGAAUUGCAGAAUUCAGUGAAUCAUCGAAUCUUUGAACGCACAUUGCACUCUCUGGUAUUCCGGAGAGUAUGCUUGUUUGAGUAUCUGUAAACAUCUCAAAUCUCUCUUCAAUUGCUUCAAUUGGGUCGAGAGAAUUGGAUUUGAGCGAUCCCGACUCCUUCGUCAGAAAGAGGAGGGUCGCUUGAAAUGCAGGUGCAGCUGGACAUUCUUCUGAGCAAAAAGCAUAUCUAUUUAGUCCCGUCAAACGGAUUAUUACUUUUGCUUCAGCUAAUAUAAAGGUUGAAUGAACUACCAACGCUGAUUGCAGGAAAACAUGUUCGUUUAUUCGGACUUGUAAACUCGAUCUCAAAUCAAGUAAGACUACCCGCUGAACUUAAGCAUAUCAAUAAGCGGAGGA